AUUUCAAUAGCUUAAUUAGAGCUUGAUAUUGAAGUUAUCAUGGUGAUCAUCUGAUCUUGAAAUA
Molecule: transfer RNA, 64 nt
Filed under: Teslasena femoralis
Lineage: Eukaryota; Metazoa; Arthropoda; Insecta; Coleoptera; Elateridae
Description: tRNA-Phe
Source: RNAcentral